UGUCGGGUAAGUUCCGACCCGCACGAAAGGCGUAACGAUUUGGGCACUGUCUCAACAACAGACUCGGUGAAAUUGUAAUUCCGGUGAAGAUGCCGGAUACCUGCGACAGGACGGAAAGACCCCAUGGAGCUUUACUGUAGCUUGACAUUGGGUCUUGGUACUACAUGUACAGGAUAGGUGGGAGGCUUUGAAACCAGGACGCCAGUUUUGGCGGAGCCAUCCUUGGGAUACCACCCUUGUAGUACUGGGACUCUAACCAUAGGCCAUGAAUCUGGUCUUGGGACACUGUCAGGUGGGCAGUUUGACUGGGGCGGUCGCCUCCCAAAAGGUAACGGAGGCGCUCAAAGGUUCUCUCAGUACGGUCGGAAAUCGUACGUAGAGUGUAAAGGCAAAAGAGAGCUUGAUUGCAAGACAUACAGGUCGAGCAA
This 428-nucleotide ribosomal RNA is filed under the name Clostridioides difficile. RNAcentral's name for it is "partial 23S ribosomal RNA". It matches the Rfam family "Bacterial large subunit ribosomal RNA", at positions 1970 to 2396 of the family's 2925-position model. The record is from RNAcentral. Lineage: Bacteria; Bacillati; Bacillota; Clostridia; Peptostreptococcales; Peptostreptococcaceae.